GGAACCGUGGUGUAGUGGCCUAACAUACGUCCCUGUCAAGGACGUGAUCGCGGGUUCGAAUCCCGUCGGUUCCG
Molecule: transfer RNA, 74 nt
Filed under: Thermobaculum terrenum ATCC BAA-798
Lineage: Bacteria; Bacillati; Chloroflexota; Chloroflexia; Thermobaculales (SeqCode); Thermobaculaceae (SeqCode)
Also listed under: 1 other name
Description: tRNA-Asp (GTC) (tRNA-Asp-GTC-1-1)
Rfam family: tRNA
About the family: Transfer RNA (tRNA) molecules are approximately 80 nucleotides in length. Their secondary structure includes four short double-helical elements and three loops (D, anti-codon, and T loops).
Source: Rfam by way of RNAcentral